AUGAACGCUGGCGGCGUGCCUAAUCCAUGCAAGUCGAGCGCACAGACGAGGAGCUUGCUCCUCUGACGUUAGCGGCGGCCGGGUGAGUAACACGUGGAUAACCUACCUAUAAGACUGGGAUAACUUCGGGAAACCGGAGCUAAUACCGGAUAAUAUAUUGAACCGCUUGGUUCAAUAGUGAAAGACGGUUUUGCUGUCACUUAUAGAUGGAUCCGCGCCGCAUUAGCUAGUUGGUAAGGUAACGGCUUACCAAGGCGACGAUGCGUAGCCGACCUGAGAGGGGGAUCGGCCACACUGGAACUGAGACACGGUCCAGACUCCUACGGGAGGCAGCAGUAGGGAAUCUGCCGCAAUGGGCGAAAGCCUGACGGAGCAACGCCGCGUGAGUGAUGAAGGUCUUCGGAUCGUAAAACUCUGUUAUUAGGGAAGAACAAAUGUGUAAGUAACUAUGCACGUCUUGACGGUACCUAAUCAGAAAGCCACGGCUAACUACGUG
This 496-nucleotide ribosomal RNA is filed under the name uncultured bacterium. Its description in RNAcentral is "partial 16S ribosomal RNA". It matches the Rfam family "Bacterial small subunit ribosomal RNA", at positions 29 to 507 of the family's 1533-position model. The record is from RNAcentral.